RNAcentral lists this long non-coding RNA (3994 nucleotides) under Sus scrofa (pig). Its description in RNAcentral is "lncRNA (ENSSSCG00030001516.1)". Lineage: Eukaryota; Metazoa; Chordata; Mammalia; Artiodactyla; Suidae. The record is from RNAcentral.
GGAAUCGGGCUGAUUCAUCGCCGGUUCGCGGAGCCAGAACCCGGCUGAGCCCGAGCUGCUGCUGCCGCCGCCGUCACGGCCGCCGCCGCCGCUGUCACCGCCACCGCCGCGUCACAAGGGUCCAGACUGCGGCCUCUUCGCCAGCCCGCCAAAGGUGAGACGGGAAAGGCCGCCCCAGGAGGUCCGCGGAGGCAUCCGCGUUAGGCCGCUGCCAGCCGGGUGCUUUCCUGAGUCACGUUGCCCAGCCGAGUUGCCACUGGGGGCCCAGGAAGUGAGGGUGGGUCCAGGUUCCUUCGUCCUCCUCGCCGGCUACUGCCGGCUGUUGGUCUUGAUUUAGAUCUCCUUCCUCCAGGCAUUUCUGCUCCGCUGAAUUCACCACAUUUUGGACCCUCUCCUUAUACAGGGUAGAACCCUUGGUUUUUGCCUCUAUUUGUAUGUGCUCUAUUGAAAGUUACCCCUGUGUUGAAAAACUUCCCGCCAGACAGAAAAUAAGAGUGAGAGGAUAAAAUUAACUUUCCCGUUGAAUGCAUGUGUACUUUAUCACUUGUCCUGAGCAUAGGCCAUGACCCCUUUUCUCUUGGUGUGAGGUUCUCAACUCCCUUCAAAAAUAACCCCAGAGGUGCACUGGUUUUUAACCUUGAAACUCUUUAAAGUGUGGUUAUUCCUGCUAUGCCUUUUAACUUACUUUCAAUUUGUCCAGUUGAGUAGUUGUUGAUUGUAAUGUAUUGAUUACAUUUACAGCUUUCAAUAAAGUAGAAAUCUGCUUCUGUGUUACCUCUUGGAACUUAAUUUUCCUGUUGACGUUACUUUGUUAGUCAAAAGAAGAAAAAUGUAGACUUAUCGAAAGAAUUUGAAUAUAAAUCUAGUGACUGAAGAGAAAAUUACAGAAAUUAAAAAAAAAAUAGUAACCAGAAGUUGGUAAAAAGAUUUAAUGGGAAAUGCUGAGAGGCUUUGAAAAUUAGCAUAGAAAUGCAGUUACUAGAGUGAAAAUUACUUUCUUCAUUGCUCAUAUAAGUAUGUUUUUAGUGCUGCUGACUUAAUAUUUAUGAGUAAACAAUAAGACAAGUCACUGAUAAUGUUGAAAUAAAAAAGAACUGAAUACAGUUUUAGUGGGGAUGAUUAACAUAAAGUGGCCCUCUUGUCAUAUAAAGCUAGCACUUGGCUCAUUUAAAGUUUAAAUUAUGUAUGUUUUAAACAUAUAAAUUGAGCAUUUGACCAGAUUAAGAAAUGUAGUGCCUCAGAAUUAACUACAAGAUGCAUUUAGUGAAGUAGUAUUUAGCGAAAAGCCUGAAUAUUGUCUUAAAUUUGUCCCGGAACAAAAUUACAUCUAGCCAACAGAGCAAAGUUUUGAAGUCAUGGUCUUUCAAUGAAGCCUCACCUGUUGAAUUUGGAAACCUCCCCUCCCCACCCCAUAAAUACUAUAUUGCUGUUCUUAUUGAAAAGCUGGAUUUUAAUCUUUCUGGCAUGGAUUUAUUUUGUUCUUGUCUGUAAACCUGUGUUUAGUUACACAAUCCAUGUUUGAAAAUCAGUGAAAAGAAGCAAUUGUGCUUUUAUGAAAUUGUUUUUAGUUUUAUAGCAGUGUUUGUUUCAUAAGUCAGUAUCCACUUGUAAAAGCCUGACCUGAAUACUGGUGAUUUAUUACUCAUGAACUUGCCCUAUACCCAAUUUGUUGCACUCAUCUGACAUUCAUAUUCUAUUUUAUGAUAUUUUGGUGUCCCAUCUGUAAAGUGAGAAUUGGAUUAAAUAAUCUUUUUUGCCUUUAAGAUAGUAACAAUAACAACAGCAGUUGGAAGUACCUGUGAAUAUUUCAGGCACUAUGUUUUAUUAGGUGCUCUUUUUUUUUCUUUUCUUACAACAAACUUGCGAAGAAGAUAUUAUCCUCAUUUUAUAAAUGAAGUCUAGAGUAUAGAAGAUAACUUAUAUAUACAGCAUAGCCAGGGUAGGUGAUGAAGCCAGAAUUCAAAUCUAAAUCUGAUUGCCUCCAGUGACUUUCUAGCUCAAUACUGCUGUCCUUUCAUUUUAUGUUUUUUCCCCAUGGAUUUAUUUCAUGCCUCCCCAGGUGGAUUGUAAAUUCUUUCAGUUAAAUUCACUAAAUUCCUUAAUGACUCUAUUUCUGUAUUACCUUAAAUACAGGGUGGUAUUUAAUAAAUGCUUGAAUGCUGUAAUUAGGAGGUAGGACAAGAGCAUAUUUAUGGUAAUUCCAUCCUCGCCAUUCUAAACAGGGAGAAAUCUUGUUUUCAAAAUCUUAUUUAUAUAAUUAAGUUUAAUGUUGACUCUGAACAUUAAACUUAGUUUUUCCACUGAAGAAAGCCCUUAAGAAAAGUGAGAGAAAUAAUGAGAUCACAAAUAUGGAGUAGUUUAAAAAGGAUUUAUUGGAGUUCCCCUUGUGGUACAGCGGAAACAAAUCCUACUAGGAACCAUGAGGUUGUGGGUUGGAUCCCUGGGACCGCUCAGUGGGUUAAGGAUCUGGCAUCGCCGUGAGCUGUGGUGUAGGUUGCAGAUGCGGCUCGGAUCUGGCGUUGCUGUCGCUCUGGCAUAGGCCGGCAGCUGUGGCUCUGAUUUCGACUCCUAGCCUGGAAACCUCCAUAUGCUAUGGGUGUGGCCCUAAAAAGACAAAAAAAAAAAAGGAUUUAUCAUCCAUCUGAGAAGUAAUAGUAUAUAACUGCAGCAUGGAUUGAGGAGUAAAAACUGAAAAGUGAAUUAGGAAACAGAGAAUAAACCUAAACAGCUAAGGGCUUCCAGAUUUUGUUAACUCAGUUGGGGGAUGAAAAAAUGGAAAAUUGUCAACCGUUUCAAACAGUUAUUUUAUGGACUUUUUUUUUUUUUUUUUUUUGGCUUUUUUGCCAUUUCUUGGGCCACACCUGCACCAUAUAGAGGUUCCCAGGCUAGGGGUCUAAUCAGAGCUGUAGCCACCGGCCUACACCAGAGCCACAGCAACGCCAGAUCCGAGCCGUGUCUGCGAACUACACCACAGCUCACGGCAAUGCCAGAUCGUUAACCCACUGAGCAAGGGCAGGGAUCGAACCCACAACCUCAUGGUUCCUAGUCAGAUUCGUUAACCACUGUGCCAUGACAGAAACUCCUGGACUUUUUUUUUUUUUUUUUUUCCCCUGGCCAUGCCUAUGGCAUGUUGAAAGUGCCCAGGCCAGAGAUGGAACCCACACCACAGUUGUGACUUGCACCACAGCUGUUGGCAACACCAGUCCUUAACCCACGGAGCCAUAAAAGAAUAUCCCUGAUACUUAAUUUUAUGCUAUUUUUACCAAUUAGGAUUCUAAACAUUAUGUAUGACUAUUAGGCAGAGUUAAGCACUUUAUUCAUGUUAUCUGAUAAUGUGUUUUAGUUAAUCAUACCGUCAAUGAGCUUUUGAGUCCUCUGCUUUUUGGUAGAUGUAAAAACUUGGUUUCAAUCUAUAGACCUUUUGCUAUCCUUGUAUUUCUAAGAAAUGGAAGUAUUUUAUGUUCUACUAUAACACCUUAAAUUUAUGAAUGCCUUUGCUAAAUGCAAGUCCUUUCUCCUCAGUGUAAUUCAUUUAGUGCCAUGAAAUAUGCCCAGUGUUUUGAAGUUCACUAGAUGGCAAAUUAUAUGGAAAGAAGAAUCUGUGUUAGGUGAAUUGUAGCUAUGCUCAUAGGAUGCUGGUGCUGAUGACAGCAGCUAACAUGCCUUGUGUACUUACAAUAUACUAAACAUUAUAUUGCAUGUUUAUGUUCAUUGUCUUCUUUAAUUUUCUAAAGAACUCUGAGGUGGAUGCUACCAGUUCCCAUUUUGCAGAUGAAGAAACUGAGGUUAAGAGAGCUAACUGACCUGAGGACACAGAGCUGAAAAGUGUUAGAACUGGAAUUCUAAUCCUGGCACUUAGAUUGUAGACUUAUAGCUUUUAAUCUCAUAUACCAAGAAGAAUGAUCCUCACCAUCUACCAUCAGGUCCAAUGAACCUUUAAAAAUUUUUUACACCUUUAAGUCAUUUUAUGAAUAAUUUACAGAAGUAAAAAUAA